GCGAUGCGGGUGUGUUGGCGCACAUCCGCACCGCGCUAAAUACCUGUAUAUAUCAUCAGUAAAUAUGGGGAAAGUCC
This 77-nucleotide non-coding RNA is filed under the name Escherichia coli K-12. The record is from RNAcentral. Lineage: Bacteria; Pseudomonadati; Pseudomonadota; Gammaproteobacteria; Enterobacterales; Enterobacteriaceae.